UAUCAAUUCCUCGGUAAUCCCUAACCUUUCAUUUUUCUUUUCCCCUUUUCUGAAAUUCCCAAUCCAACAUCAGUAAUCCCUAACCAUUUUCCCCUUUUACCAAAUCAAACCUGACCUCCUUAUCUCCAAUUAUGACAAUACCAUCCCCUUAAACGAAUCCUUGUCCCCAAGGAUCGAAGUGUGGGAAAUGAGACUUCAAAACAUUGAAGUCCUCACAAGAAUCGUGUAAAGCAUCAAGAUUCGUCCAUCACACCAGAAGUUGUGUUACAGGGGGUUUGAAGACGGUAAAAUGGUGUUGUCGAUUUUCUUCUUCAAUAUACUAUCAUGAAAGACAGGGUGAAGUCGUAAAUUUGGAAGUAAUUCCCAGGACGAGUGCAUGUAGGGUUGCAACUUGAGUUCCUCGUGAUUUUGAAGCAUACCAUUCACCGUCUGUACAUGCGAGUCAGUUUGUCAAGCCAUAGUGGGGGGUUUGUAGCCACAAAAUGCCUGAAAAUGGGUGAGCUGCAAGGUUGUGUUGUACCACUACUCGGCGUGUGGCAACCAUUGAGCCCAUUGGUUUGGCUUUAAGAAACAAAACCCCCUUACGAACUGUUCUAGGCAUUGAUUUACUUUUUUUGUCUGCCCGUCAGUUUUAGGAUGAUAUGAUGUGUUGUAGAGUGAAGUUGUACCCAAAUGUUUCAUUAAUUCCCUCCAAAUAUUACUGGUAAA
Hibiscus syriacus is the source of this 708-nucleotide long non-coding RNA. RefSeq lists it as uncharacterized. The record is from RefSeq and is a predicted model, not a curated record. The transcript has 4 exons. Lineage: Eukaryota; Viridiplantae; Streptophyta; Magnoliopsida; Malvales; Malvaceae.